RNAcentral lists this ribosomal RNA (460 nucleotides) under uncultured bacterium. RNAcentral describes it as "partial 16S ribosomal RNA". It matches the Rfam family "Bacterial small subunit ribosomal RNA", at positions 338 to 795 of the family's 1533-position model. The record is from RNAcentral.
CCUACGGGUGGCAGCAGUGAGGAAUAUUGGUCAAUGGGCGCGAGCCUGAACCAGCCAAGUAGCGUGAAGGAUGACUGCCCUACGGGUUGUAAACUUCUUUUAUAAAGGAAUAAAGUGAGGCACGUGUGCCUUUUUGUAUGUACUUUAUGAAUAAGAAUCGGCUAACUCCGUGCCAGAAGCCGCGGUAAUACGUAGGAACCGAGCGUUUUCCGGGUUUAUUUGGUUUAAAGGAAGCGGAGUUGGGUUGUUAAGUCAGUUGGGAAAGUUUGCGGCUCAACCGUAAAAUUGUCAUUGAUACUGGCAGUCUUGAGUACAGUUGAGGUAGGCGGAAUUCGUGGUGUAGCGGUGAAAUGCUUGGAUAUCACGCAGAACUCCGAUUGCGAAGGCAGCUUACUAAACUGCAACUGACAUUGAUGCUCGAAAGUGUGGGUAUCAAACAGGAUUAGAUACCCUAGUAGUC